CUCCUGGAAACGGGUGGUAAUGCCGGAUGUUCCAGUUGAUCGCAUGGUCUUCUGGGAAAGCUUUCGCGGUAUGGGAUGGGGUCGCGUCCUAUCAGCUUGACGGCGGGGUAACGGCCCACCGUGGCUUCGACGGGUAGCCGGCCUGAGAGGGCGACCGGCCACAUUGGGACUGAGAUACGGCCCAGACUCCUACGGGAGGCAGCAGUGGGGAAUAUUGCACAAUGGGCGCAAGCCUGAUGCAGCGACGCCGCGUGAGGGAUGGAGGCCUUCGGGUUGUAAACCUCUUUUAUCGGGGAGCAAGCGUGAGUGAGUUUACCCGUUGAAUAAGCACCGGCUAACUACGUGCCAGCAGCCGCGGUAAUACGUAGGGUGCAAGCGUUAUCCGGAAUUAUUGGGCGUAAAGGGCUCGUAGGCGGUUCGUCGCGUCCGGUGUGAAAAGUCCAUCGCUUAACGGUGGAUCCGCGCCGGGUACGGGCGGGCUUGAGUGCGGUAGGGGAAACGGGAACUC
This 508-nucleotide ribosomal RNA is filed under the name uncultured Bifidobacterium sp. RNAcentral describes it as "bacterial SSU rRNA". It matches the Rfam family "Bacterial small subunit ribosomal RNA", at positions 147 to 669 of the family's 1533-position model. Lineage: Bacteria; Bacillati; Actinomycetota; Actinomycetes; Bifidobacteriales; Bifidobacteriaceae. The record is from RNAcentral.